CCUACGGGAGUCAGCAGUGGGGGAUAUUGCACAAUGGGGGGAACCCUGAUGCAGCGACGCCGCGUGGGUGAAGAAGCGCCUCGGCGCGUAAAGCCCUGUCAGCAGGUAAGAAAAUGACGGUACCUGAAGAAGAAGCCCCGGCUAACUACGUGCCAGCAGCCGCGGUAAUACGUAGGGGGCAAGCGUUAUCCGGAUUUACUGGGUGUAAAGGGGGCGCAGACGGCGAUGCAAGCCAGGAGUGAAAGCCCGGGGACCAACCCCGGGACUGCUCUUGGAACUGCGUGGCUGGAGUGCAGGAGGGGCAGGCGGAAUUCCUGGUGUAGCGGUGAAAUGCGUAGAUAUCAGGAGGAACACCGGUGGCGAAGGCGGCCUGCUGGACUGCAACUGACGUUGAGGCCCGAAAGCGUGGGGAGCAAACAGGAUUAGAUACCCUUGUAGUC
RNAcentral lists this ribosomal RNA (440 nucleotides) under uncultured bacterium. RNAcentral describes it as "partial 16S ribosomal RNA". It matches the Rfam family "Bacterial small subunit ribosomal RNA", at positions 338 to 795 of the family's 1533-position model. The record is from RNAcentral.